GCCGGGCGCGGUGGCGCGCGCCUGUAAUCCCAGCUACUCGGGAGGCUGAGGCUGGAGGAUCGCUUGAGCUCAGGAGUUCUGGGCUGCAGUGCGCUAUGCCGAUCGGGUGUCCGCACUAAGUUCGGCAUCAAUAUGGUGACCUCCCGGGAGCGGGGGACCACCAGGUUGCCUAAGGAGGGGUGAACCGGCCCAGGUCGGAAACGGAGCAG
RNAcentral lists this small RNA (209 nucleotides) under Moschus moschiferus (Siberian musk deer). RNAcentral describes it as "Metazoan signal recognition particle RNA (ENSMMSG00000016497.1)". It matches the Rfam family "Metazoan signal recognition particle RNA", at positions 1 to 208 of the family's 299-position model. Rfam says of the family: The signal recognition particle (SRP) is a universally conserved ribonucleoprotein. It is involved in the co-translational targeting of proteins to membranes. Lineage: Eukaryota; Metazoa; Chordata; Mammalia; Artiodactyla; Moschidae. The record is from Rfam by way of RNAcentral.